UACGUAGGUGGCGAGCGUUGUCCGGAUUUACUGGGCGUAAAGGGAGCGUAGGCGGACUUUUAAGUGAGAUGUGAAAUACUCGGGCUCAACUUGAGUGCUGCAUUUCAAACUGGAAGUCUAGAGUGCAGGAGAGGAGAAUGGAAUUCCUAGUGUAGCGGCGAAAUGCGUAGAUAUUAGGAGGAACACCAGUUGCGAAGGCGGCUCUCUGGACUGUAACUGACACUGAGGCACGAAAGCGUGGGGAGCAAACAGG
RNAcentral lists this ribosomal RNA (253 nucleotides) under uncultured bacterium. RNAcentral describes it as "partial 16S ribosomal RNA". It matches the Rfam family "Bacterial small subunit ribosomal RNA", at positions 524 to 776 of the family's 1533-position model. The record is from RNAcentral.